Molecule: ribosomal RNA, 494 nt
Filed under: uncultured bacterium
Lineage: Bacteria
Description: partial 16S ribosomal RNA
Rfam family: Bacterial small subunit ribosomal RNA
Source: RNAcentral
GACGAACGCUGGCGGCGUGCUUAACACAUGCAAGUCGAACGGAAAGGCCUGCUUUCCCUUGUGGAUUGCGGGUACUCGCGUGGCGAACGGGUGAGUAACACGUGAGUGAUCUGCCCCCAACUUGGGUAUAAGCCUGGGAAACUGGGUCUAAUUCCCGAUAGGACUGCAGGGUGGUGCCUGUGGUGGAAAACGAUUUUCUAGUGGUUGGGGAUGAGCUCGCGGCCUAUCAGCUUGUUGGUGGGGUAAUGGCCUACCAAGGCGGCGACGGGUAGCCGGCCUGAGAGGGUGGACGGCCACAUUGGGACUGAGAUACGGCCCAGACGCCUACGGGAGGCAGCAGUGGGGAAUAUUGCACAAUGGGCGGAAGCCUGAUGCAGCGACGCCGCGUGGGGGAUGACGGCCUUCGGGUUGUAAACUCCUUUCGACCGCGAGGAAGCCACCUGGUUGGAAGGGUGGUGACGGUAGUGGUAGAAGAAGCACCGGCUAACUACGUG